GGGAAUCUUCGGCAAUGGACGAAAGUCUGACCGAGCAACGCCGCGUGAGUGAAGAAGGUCUUCGGAUCGUAAAACCCUGUUGUUAGAGAAGAACAAGGACGUUAGUAACUGAACGUCCCCUGACGGUAUCUAACCAGAACGCCACGGCUAACUACGUGCCAGCAGCCGCGGUAAUACGUAGGUGGCAAGCGUUAUCCGGAUUUAUUGGGCGUAAAGGGAACGCAGGCGGUCUUUUAAGUCUGAUGUGAAAGCCCAGGGCUUAACCGUGGAGGGUCAUUGGAAACUGGUUGACUUGAGUGCAGAAGAGGGAAGUGGAAUUCCAUGUGUAGCGGUGAAAUGCGUAGAGAUAUGGAAGAACACCAGUGGCGAAAGCGGCUCUCUGGUCUGUAACUGACGCUGAGGUUCGAAAGCGUGGGUAGCA
Molecule: ribosomal RNA, 421 nt
Filed under: uncultured bacterium
Lineage: Bacteria
Description: bacterial SSU rRNA
Rfam family: Bacterial small subunit ribosomal RNA
Source: RNAcentral